UAGGGAAUCUUCGGCAAUGGACGAAAGUCUGACCGAGCAACGCCGCGUGAGUGAAGAAGGUUUUCGGAUCGUAAAACUCUGUUGUUAGAGAAGAACAAGGACGUUAGUAACUGAACGUCCCCUGACGGUAUCUAACCAGAAAGCCACGGCUAACUACGUGCCAGCAGCCGCGGUAAUACGUAGGUGGCAAGCGUUGUCCGGAUUUAUUGGGCGUAAAGCGAGCGCAGGCGGUUUCUUAAGUCUGAUGUGAAAGCCCCCGGCUCAACCGGGGAGUGUCAUUGGAAACUGGGAGAAUUGAGUGCAGAAGAGGAGAGUGGAAUUCCAUGUGUAGCGGUGAAAUGCGUAGAUAUAUGGAGGAACACCAGUGGCGAAGGCGGCUCUCUGGUCUGUAACUGACGCUGAGGCUCGAAAGCGUGGGGAGCAAACAGG
This 429-nucleotide ribosomal RNA is filed under the name Gemmatimonadota bacterium. Its description in RNAcentral is "Gemmatimonadetes bacterium partial 16S ribosomal RNA". It matches the Rfam family "Bacterial small subunit ribosomal RNA", at positions 355 to 776 of the family's 1533-position model. The record is from RNAcentral. Lineage: Bacteria; Pseudomonadati; Gemmatimonadota.